This 497-nucleotide ribosomal RNA is filed under the name uncultured bacterium. Its description in RNAcentral is "partial 16S ribosomal RNA". It matches the Rfam family "Bacterial small subunit ribosomal RNA", at positions 28 to 507 of the family's 1533-position model. The record is from RNAcentral.
GAUGAACGCUGGCGGCGUGCCUAAUACAUGCAAGCCGAGCGAACGGACGAGAAGCUUGCUUCUCUGAUGUUAGCGGCGGACGGGUGAGUAACACGUGGACAACCUACCUAUAAGACUGGGAUAACUUCGGGAAACCGUAGCUAAUACCGGAUAAUAUUUUGAACCGCAUGGUUCAAAAGUGAAAGACGGUCUUGCUGUCACUUAUAGAUGGAUCCGCGCUGCAUUAGCUAGUUGGUAAGGUAACGGCUUACCAAGGCAACGAUGCAUAGCCGACCUGAGAGGGUGAUCGGCCACACUGGAACUGAGACACGGUCCAGACUCCUACGGGAGGCAGCAGUAGGGAAUCUUCCGCAAUGGGCGAAAGCCUGACGGAGCAACGCCGCGUGAGUGAUGAAGGUCUUCGGAUCGUAAAACUCUGUUAUUAGGGAAGAACAUAUGUGUAAGUAACUGUGCACAUCUUGACGGUACCUAAUCAGAAAGCCACGGCUAACUACGUG